GUGGGGAAUUUUGGACAAUGGGCGCAAGCCUGAUCCAGCAAUGCCGCGUGCAGGAAGAAGGCCUUCGGGUUGUAAACUGCUUUUGUACGGAACGAAAAGGCUCUGGUUAAUACCUGGGGCUCAUGACGGUACCGUAAGAAUAAGCACCGGCUAACUACGUGCCAGCAGCCGCGGUAAUACGUAGGGUGCAAGCGUUAAUCGGAAUUACUGGGCGUAAAGCGUGCGCAGGCGGUUUUGUAAGACAGACGUGAAAUCCCCGGGCUCAACCUGGGAAUGGCGUUUGUGACUGCAAAGCUGGAGUGCGGCAGAGGGGGAUGGAAUUCCGCGUGUAGCAGUGAAAUGCGUAGAUAUGCGGAGGAACACCGAUGGCGAAGGCAAUCCCCUGGGCCUGCACUGACGCUCAUACACGAAAGCGUGGGGAGCAAACAGGAUUAGAUACCCCAGUAGUCC
This 450-nucleotide ribosomal RNA is filed under the name uncultured bacterium. RNAcentral's name for it is "partial 16S ribosomal RNA". It matches the Rfam family "Bacterial small subunit ribosomal RNA", at positions 354 to 796 of the family's 1533-position model. The record is from RNAcentral.